AACAACCAAAUUCAAAAAAUAAAUAAACUUGCAAUAUUAUAAAAAAAAGAAAACUUUCUAAUUUUUUAUCCGAGAAUAAUAGUUCUCGGUUAUCCCCACCAACACCUCCAUUUUCUAUAUAAAACUUUCUAAUAUUUUUCUUAUCCUCGGGAACAACCCAAUUUUCAUCCAAACGCUAUUUUUCUUAUCCCCAGACUUGUACCUAUCCCUGUAAUAGCUAGUUCUUGCUUAUACCCGAACCAAACGGUACCUUAUAUUCUACUUAAAGUAGGUAAGAUCAUUUAUUUCUAUAUAAUUUUUGAUAUUGGA
This 309-nucleotide long non-coding RNA is filed under the name Ananas comosus (pineapple). RNAcentral describes it as "long non-coding RNA (ACOM_LNC008342)". Lineage: Eukaryota; Viridiplantae; Streptophyta; Magnoliopsida; Poales; Bromeliaceae. The record is from RNAcentral.